The sequence is a ribosomal RNA, 974 nucleotides long. It matches the Rfam family "Eukaryotic large subunit ribosomal RNA", at positions 1 to 632 of the family's 3401-position model. The record is from Rfam.
UAUCCUUAUUUAAACUAAUGCCCGUCUAAAAGAAAAAAGAAUAAGAGGAUGAAAGCCAUGCACCAGUUUUGCAACCACCUGUGCCAAGUACAUAUACUUGGUAAUUUAGUGAAUACAAACUAUUUGGUAUAGUAACACUAUAUAUGAGGAGUUAUUGGCCGGCAUCCAAGUAGCUGAUUACCUUCGACAGGGAGAGUUGCUUGGGAAUGCCACUCUAAACGGGUGAUAAAUUUCAUCUAAAGCUCAGUACUGCAUCAAAGAGGACAGCACAAGAGUAGUGUGACCAAAGUAUGAAAAACACUUUGAAAACAGAGUUUAAAAAAACAGGUGAAAUUGUUGAAAGUGAAGCACUUGCAACCACACUCGUCUCCGAGGUUCAGCUGGCAUUCGUGCCUGUGUACUUCCCCGGUGAGCCAGGGUCGGUUUUGGCGCUGGUCAAAGACGCCCGGAAUAUAAGAAUGCCCUCCGGGGCACUUCAUUGCCAAGAGUGCAAUGCGACCCGCCCGGACCGAGGAACGCCGUUCCCUACCUUGGACCCACCCGGUGAUUAACCUUAGCCGUUUAAGGGAAGGUAUGACUAGUUUAGCUAGGGCAGCAUAUGCCAACCUCAAUAUGAUUUAAUUCCAAGUAGUAUGAUGUCUCCAUAUAUGCCCGAAGUAGUAAUAGUAUUAUACGGUAGAAGGAAGUUCUAGUCCCACACGCUUCUUGUUUAUAUACGGCGUGAUUUAGGGGGGUGCUGUAUUAUACACAUUGUUCUUGAUACCUAUUUAAGAAAGUUAACGGGCGUCAAACGUCGACAACACCAGCGCAUUUCGGUGACGCACCAAAACAAGCUAAAUUUCUCCACCCUUUCUUCUCAGGUCAGAGAAACAACGCCUUUUGGAACAGGGUUUAGUGGAAACUGAAGGUCUACUUCAAAACUUGGUUCGUUACUUGUUAUUGUCCCGAGUAUACCCGUGUAUAGGACGAGAUCA